GGGGGAGGGUAGGAGGGGAAGAGGAGCGGGGCUCCUAGGAACAGCAGCGUGUUUCCAAGACCCUCGGCUUAGCUCACUGCCACUCUGGCCCCUCAGGACCGCCUGGUGCUCUGGUCCAAUGCUUGGGAGAAAUCCUAAACUGAGGGAAAUCAAGGCCCAGCCCACUUCGGGAAUGGCUCAGGGGCUGCAACCUCCAGCUCACCAACAAGGCAGUUAGAACCACGGUUGGCAAAUACAGCUGCACUUCGGGAUCACCUGGGAUGCCUGGGUCCCCCGCGGGGCCAAGUCCAGCCCCAGAGAUCUCAGGAUUUCUAACCAUGCCACAUCCCCUGGGGGGCACAACUCCCAGCCACAGAGGGGAAAAGAAACGCCCAGAGUGACUCCACUGAGGAGGGCAAGGUCUGCAUUCGCCUCACCGCUUCCUGAUACUUUCACAAACAAGACGAGGAACAAGAGAAAAUGCAGUGCAUUUGCUGACUUUGUCAAUCCCCUUGCCUCGCUCCCCCCUGCAGCCGGGUCUCCAGGGAAGGGUUUAACAGGAAGCGCCUGGCGUCCGGGAGCCACAGAAGACCAUUGUUCUCCAGCUGGUCCCCUCCCUCUUGUCCAGGAAGACCCUCUAGGGAGCCCCUUCAAAAGGGCCAGGCGCAGUGUCUCCAGACUGCAGGCCAGCCUGUCGGGAGAGCAAGCACCGGAAAAGGAAACCCACGGGGCGCGGGCUGGGGCACAGCUGUCACCGCAGAGUCUUGGGGGGUUUCCGAGGAAGGGGGGGCUCAGGCUUACCCGCGCCCCCAGGGGGGACAACCCUCCCCCACAGCCCUCAUCUGGAAGGCAGACGGCUUUGAUCUCAAGCUUUUAGGUACAACUUAAGCUCCUGUCUCCCUCCACCCAUUUCCCCCACCCCCAGCAUCUCUGUGUUGGAA
This is a long non-coding RNA of Bos taurus (domestic cattle), 920 nucleotides long. NCBI's taxonomy places the organism in Eukaryota, Metazoa, Chordata, Mammalia, Artiodactyla, Bovidae. The record is from Ensembl.